UUUCCCUCUGAUGCGGCACGUGGCAGACUCCUGGGUGAGCAGGGGCAGGUGCGGAGCUCACAUCAACCCCCACCCUGACCUGAUGGCCUUCCUCAGAGUCGUCAGAGCAGCAGCGUCAGUGUCCCCAUUGAGCUCACUCAAAACGCACAUUCACAGAUCUGCCCUGACCUGCCAAGGCAGAGGUAAUGGGUUCCACGUGAUUCGCAUGUGCACUUGAGUUUGAGAACUGCUGCCUGGGCCUCAGAGGGGAUCAUGGGGGAGCACCUGGGCAGGAAGCACCCUGUCUUCCCACCAUGGGCACCUGCCUCAUACACCCCCUCCCCCGUCUGUCACUGGCCUUGCCUGGAUCACCCCCUCUUGCCUUCAAGGGCUGUGCUCCCCCAUCCCUCUCCUGUAUCACCUAGCUCCCCCUUGGAGGGCUGGUGGGCAUCAGACUGUGAUGAGGAGCUUGCCCUUCCACCUGCAUUAAGGGACACUGCCCUGGCCCAGGGCUCGGGUCAGAGCCCUUAGAGGCACCCUUGAUGCCCCAUCCCUCACUACCCACACCCACAUCCACAGCAUGGCCUCCCUCCAGAAGACCCUGGGUCCAGCAGCAUUUCCCAUCCUCACUGCCAUCCCUGGAGGCUAAGCUGCAGCCUCCAGAGCCCUUGUGGGACAGAGAGAGAGGUCAUCUGCAGUAUAGAGGGGGGCCUCCAUUCCCAGCAAUGCUUGGGACCAGGUUGUCUGCAAGCUCUCCUGCUAUUAGUGCGUAUGUAUACAAUGUUAAAUAUAUAUAAGAGAAAGACUGAGAAAGGUGGGCUAAGCGUCCAUCUCAAGAAGUCAGAAAAAAACAAAAAAAGCCUAAGAACAUAGAAGGAAAUAAUAGACACGAAGGAAAUAGAAAAACAUUCAGUAAAAAGGAGAACCACAAGUUGGUUCUUUUAAAAGAUGACUGGAAUUCAAAAGCUGCUAGGAAGUUGGAUCAAGAUGAAAAGGAGGCACAAGUCACUCUCACUGGGAAUGAAAGACAUUGCUACAGCUUUUCAAACACGAAAGAGGUUAGAGCAGGGCAGCUGCCACCUAACAGGGCAUUCAGGCUGCCCUGUGCCCCCGGAGCUCCAGCCACCUGGGGGAGGGGCUGUCCUUGUCCAAACCACCCAAAAACCCCAAAGGGGGCGAGGGAUGCUGGGAGUGACUUUGAGCCAGCACACUUGAAAGUGUUAACUAACAUGGGUAAGUUCCUAGAGGACAAAAGCUGACUCAAAAAGAAAAAAUCUGAGCAGUCCUAUGGCUGCUAAACCAGAGCUGGAGCUCUGGGCCCAGAUGGCGUUAUUAGGAGAGCUCUACUCAACACUCAAGGGGAAAAAGAAUUGAACAAACUCUCCCAGAGAGUAGAAAAAUAGGAAACAUUUCCCGACUCGUUUUGAGACCAGCAUUUCCUUGACACAAAAUGAAACAAUUCUAGACUAACCUCACUGAUGACCAUAGAUGAGAAGAUCCUAAAGAAAAUCACAGGGGAGGCGGCGCUGUGUACAAAGGACAUAACCUUGUGUCUAAGGUUAAAUCUUAGGCAAAAUUGCUUUAAUGCUGGAAAAUGCGUUAAUCUAAUCCACUGCCUUUGAAACAGUAAGGGAGGAGAACAUUUAUGAUACGUUCAAUAGGUGCAGGUAAAGGGUUCGAUAAAAUGAAACAUUCAUUCGUGAUCAAAAAGAAUGAACAACCCUUGAGCCAACCACAAACAAUUGACAAUAGCACCCCCCGAAAAUGAAGUAGCCAGGGUUAAAUAAAAAAAAUACACAAGGCGUCUCGGGGAACUUUAUGGAGGGUGUUCAGGGAAGACCUAAAGGAGUGGGGGAUACAUCCUGAUCAUAGAAUGGACGUCUGUAUCAAAGAUGCCACCAUUCCCUGUGGUCCGCAAAGUAACGGCUCCCCCCAGAGCUGUCUGGGUUCCCAGAACCUGUGCAUAUGUUAAAGUGCAUGGCAAAGGGGAUUAAGUUUGCAGAUGGAUUUAGGGUUCCACUGACCAUAACAGGGAGGUUACCCUGACAUCUGGUGGGUCCAAUGUAAUCACAACAGUCCUUAACAGCAGAAGGGGACAGAGGAGGGAGAAGCAGAAGGCGGCAGUGUGGGAGGGACCCGGUCUGCGGUUGCUGGCUGUGAAGGUGGAGGAAGGGGCCGUGGGCCAAGGAUGCAGGCCGCCUCUAGAAGCUGGAAAAGGUUGAGACAAAUUCUCACCAGAGUCCCCAGCAGGAACACCGCCCCGCAGACACCUUGGCUUCAGCCCCAUGAGACCCUUUCAGACCUCUGACCUCCAGGAUUCAAGUUAAGUGUUGUUUUACGUUUGUGAUGAUUUGGGACAGCAGCAAUAGGGAAUGAAUAGACUUCAAAACUAUUUAUAGGUUGAAGGCAUUCCCAUUCAAAAUCCCAGCCGGGUUUUUGUGGAAGUUGACAAGCAAAUUCUAAAAUUUACAUGGACGGUCAGAGCCAAGAAUAAUGAAGAAUCUCGAAGAAUGAAAUGGGGCACCUGGAUGGCUGUCGGUUAAGCAUCGGACUCUUGAUUUCGGCUCAGGUCAUGAUCUCAGUGUCGUGAAAUCAAGUCCUGCGUCGGGCUCUGCUCUCAUCGUGGAGUCUGCUCGAGAUUCUCUCUCUCUCCCUCUCCCCCUGCCCCUCACCCCACUUGCACUCUCUCUCUCUCUCUCUCUCAAAAAAAAGGAUGACCUAUUUGGGCAUCAAGGCCUACUUCAUCGAUACUAAUUACACAAAAUCACACAUACAGUGUGGUCACUUCAGAAGGAAGUUCAAACCAGGCUUCAGUGAAACUGUUCUGUAAAGAUGCUUCCAUAGUAAGGGGCAAAUCUGAAGAAGAGGAAGUCAGAAUGGGUCUACCUGAGGGGGAUGAGGGGAAAGCACAGGGGGCUCUGGGGUGCUGGCCGCUUGCUCUUUAUUGAGGGGUUGGUGGUGACAUGGGGGUUUGCCUCACGAUUUUGUUGAACUGUAUGUUUAUGUUUUAUGUGUUGUACAGUAUGAUGUUAUAAUGAUGUUUAAUACAUUAAAAAUCAGACGAAUUUCAUGUCA
Long non-coding RNA from Ailuropoda melanoleuca (giant panda), 3054 nucleotides. RefSeq lists it as uncharacterized. The transcript is spliced from 2 exons. NCBI's taxonomy places the organism in Eukaryota, Metazoa, Chordata, Mammalia, Carnivora, Ursidae. The record is from RefSeq and is a predicted model, not a curated record.